UCGUGCUAGGUGGGGAAGUAGCGGCGCCCUGUCGCUCGCAGUUCCGCUCUAGCGAGGCCGAAUCCCCGGUUGAGGGGUCCUGCCUCGGGGUCAGCGCGCCGAAGGCGGUGUCGAUGGCCCGGGUCCCGUGCAACGCCGGCCCGUGAACCAGGUCAGGUCCGGAAGGAAGCAGCCUUAAGCGGUCUUCGGCGUGUGCAGCGGGGUGGCCCGGACCGGAGCCGUCGCUCGGCGAGAGCGUCACCGAGGGAGGACGACGAGGCUGGGUGCACGA
RNAcentral lists this signal recognition particle RNA (271 nucleotides) under Actinomycetota bacterium. Its description in RNAcentral is "signal recognition particle sRNA large type". It matches the Rfam family "Bacterial large signal recognition particle RNA". Rfam says of the family: The signal recognition particle (SRP) is a universally conserved ribonucleoprotein involved in the co-translational targeting of proteins to membranes. Archaeal SRP consists of a 7S RNA and homologues of the eukaryotic SRP19 and SRP54 proteins. Lineage: Bacteria; Bacillati; Actinomycetota. The record is from RNAcentral.